Molecule: transfer RNA, 75 nt
Filed under: Alphaproteobacteria bacterium
Lineage: Bacteria; Pseudomonadati; Pseudomonadota; Alphaproteobacteria
Also listed under: 1 other name
Description: tRNA-Glu
Rfam family: tRNA
About the family: Transfer RNA (tRNA) molecules are approximately 80 nucleotides in length. Their secondary structure includes four short double-helical elements and three loops (D, anti-codon, and T loops).
Source: RNAcentral
GCUCCCUUCGUCUAAUGGUUAGGACGCCAGAUUUUCAAUCUGGAAACACGGGUUCGAUUCCCGUAGGGAGCGCCA